CCUACGGGGGGCUGCAGUGGGGAAUAUUGGACAAUGGGGGCAACCCUGAUCCAGCCAUGCCGCGUGUGUGAAGAAGGCCCUCGGGUUGUAAAGCACUUUCAGUGAGGAAGAACGCCUGGUGGUUAAUACCCAUCAGGAAAGACAUCACUCACAGAAGAAGCACCGGCUAACUCCGUGCCAGCAGCCGCGGUAAUACGGAGGGUGCGAGCGUGAAUCGGAAUUACUGGGCGUAAAGCGCGCGUAGGUGGCUUGAUAAGCCGGUUGUGAAAGCCCCGGGCUCAACCUGGGAACGGCAGCCGGAACUGUCAAGCUAGAGUGCAGGAGAGGAAGGUAGAAUUCCCGGUGUAGCGGUGAAAUGCGUAGAGAUCGGGAGGAAUACCAGUGGCGAAGGCGGCCUUCUGGACUGACACUGACACUGAGGUGCGAAAGCGUGGGUAGCAAACAGGAUUAGAUACCCUUGUAGUC
RNAcentral lists this ribosomal RNA (465 nucleotides) under Vreelandella stevensii. RNAcentral describes it as "partial 16S ribosomal RNA". It matches the Rfam family "Bacterial small subunit ribosomal RNA", at positions 338 to 795 of the family's 1533-position model. The record is from RNAcentral. Lineage: Bacteria; Pseudomonadati; Pseudomonadota; Gammaproteobacteria; Oceanospirillales; Halomonadaceae.